This is a long non-coding RNA of Eptesicus fuscus (big brown bat), 7323 nucleotides long. RefSeq lists it as uncharacterized. Lineage: Eukaryota; Metazoa; Chordata; Mammalia; Chiroptera; Vespertilionidae. The transcript has 7 exons. The record is from RefSeq and is a predicted model, not a curated record.
CGCUGCCCCAUCAAGGCCCCUGGAGCCUCCCUGGAGGGCCUCGCCCCGAAGCUAGGGUCGGGCUUCCGGGUUCUCCCCUAAGGAGGAAGCCACCUUGGGCCGGUGUGGGGUAGAGGCCUGAUGACCCCGGAAGUAGUUGGCCGCAUGCUAGGAGAAGGAAACCAAGGCCCCCAGGAUGGACUGGUACGCAGGCCUGUUAAGUGGAGGCUCAGAAAUGCCUUGACUCCUCUGGAAGUUGAGGGCUGUCCUCUUGGAAAGAAUGAAGUCAGGCUCCAGCAGUGGCAUCUCAUCCUCCCACCAACCUGGCUGCAAACCCCGCUUUCCCACGGACCUUCAGAGGAGCCAGGAGACAUGUUAACAACACAGCAUCAUCCAGGAAAAUAGAGGCUGUGCUGAGACCGAGGGAAUCCUUAACUUUUAUCCCCUCGGGUAGAACGAGGAAUAACGUCAAGAAUUAUUUCUGGACUCUUUCCAGCCCAACAACAGGCCCGAGCUUGUGUCGGUGUUUCAGCCAGCGAGGCAAGUGAACCUGCUCCUGACAUUGGGACUACUUUUGCUUCCCUCACAAAGGCUGCGGAGGGUUACUGAAUGCCAACAGCGUGAGUUGUCCUUCGCCCAUAAAUACGCCUCUCCCGGCUCUGCGGCAGGCAUUCAGGCAGCGAGCGCAGAGGUGACUGCUGAGGCCGAGGCACUACUUGAGGAAACCAGAUAAGUUUUUUCUAUUAAAAAAGAGAUAGAAAAUAAUAUUAUUUAGGAAAUGUAAAUAGCGAAGGUGCUUACUGAGAUAUUGCUUAGCAUUAAUAUUUUAACUUUUAUAACAAAGAUCUUACUUAAGGGAAAAUAUAAUGAAGACUUACCUAAAAAGUAGUUUCAGAAAGGAAGAGAGAAGAAAAAUAUUUCCAGAACAUGACGGAGAUGAAACUUCUUUACGAAGUAAAAAUAAUUUUCAAGGAAGUGGCUGAUAGGAUUGCAAAGCCUGAACUAAAAAAAAAAAAAAAAAAAAAAGCCUUAAAUGGAAGGGCAAACUAAAAAUACCAUUAAACCGUAGGUGACAUAAUUGUCAUUUAAAGAAAGUUGGAGAUGGUUAAACUAUAUAUUAAAUGCCGUAUUUAAAAGAGAAAAUUGAAGGUGAUUUAAGAGGCCUUCAAAUUCAUGACGCAGGAAAGAUUGUCAUUUGAAGCCGAAUUGCUCUUACGGCAUUAUUAGCUCAAGAUGGGGCAAUUGUUAAUUUAGAAGUCGUAGGAUAAAAUUUUGGAGAAAGAAAUUUGAAGUGGAAAACUUGGAAGACAGAAGUGUACAGGAAGGUGAAGAAAAAGACUUAGAGAAGACAGGAAAAUAGAAGAUAAAACAUGUAUUUUAGAAGACAGAAAAACUAAGUCCAAAAGGUAGAAAGCAGAAGAGAAAGUGUUGAGACAAACUAACCAAAGCAACUAAGGGCACAGAUACAAAUGUAGUAGAAAAUGAGAAGAUACAAGUUUAGAAAAAUAGAAGAUAGAAAAUGAGAUACAGAUUAAGUAGAAAAUAGAAGAUAGAAAAUGAAGAUACAAGUUUAGAAAAAUAGAAGAUAGAAAAUGAGAUACAGAUUAAGUAGAAAAUAGAAGAUAGAAAAUGAGAAGAUACAAGAUUAGAAAAAUAGAAGAUAGAAAAUGAGAUACAUAUAAAGUAGAAAAUAGAAGAUAGAAAAUGAGAAGAUACAAGUUUAGAAAAAUAGAAGAUAGAAAAUGAGAUACAGAUAAAGUAGAAAACUAGAAGAGAAAAAGAGAAGAUAACAGUUUAAGUAGAAAAAUAGAAGAUAGAAAAUGAGAAGAUACAAGUUAGAAAAGUAGAAGAUAGAAAAUGAGAAGAUACAAGUUAGAAAAGUAGAAGAUAGAAAACGAGAAGAUACAAAUUUAGAAAACUAGAAGAUAGAAGGUUGUCAAGAAAAGUAUUUCAGCUAGAAGAUAGUACAGGAACAAAAGGAGGAAAUUAAAUUUUUAAUAACUUAUAAUUUAAUAAGAAUUUAUUAUAAAAGCCCAUGAGUUUAAUUUCAAAACUAAGGGUAGGAUGUUUUUUGGAAGACUUAAAAAAACUUGAAAGGCUUAAAUACAUUAGUUUAGUUCUCUUUGGAAAAUUUAAAGGACUUUCAUAACAAGUAAUUCGAGAUCAAGAAUAAUCAACGCUUUUGGUUUGGACUGAGCUCAGAUGAUUUAAACCUGAGGACUAGCGUUAAUUGUCAGCUGACCAGGUGCCAGCAGAAGUGGACUCAGGAAGCUAGGAAGACAGGAGCGACAGACAGGACCCCAGGAGCCAGUGUGGUGAAGCUAGGACUGAGCCGCCAGCGGCGAUCGUGAAGAUAGGCCAGGAGCCCGGGAGCCAGUGCGCGAGGAGGAGCUAGCACGGAGGAAGGCGCUGAGGCGGUGCAGCUAGGAGAGGCCUCCGGGAAGGAGGAGGAGCCAGUGCGAUGUGCCGACGCCGGCGUGCGACUGGGCGACCACGCGGAGGCGGCGAGCAGGCGUGUGGAGGAAGGAGGAUGGAGGAUGGAGGAUAGAUAGCGGAGCCUAGAGCAGCGGGCGUCCCAGUGUGCGAGGCCGCGUGCGGGCAGCCAGUGGUGGUAAAAGUCCGGGAGGUCGGCCGCGCCCUGGCUUUUGGUAACGAGUAUGGUAACCUUUACUUUACUAAUGGUAAUGGGGGAGUUGUACUUAAGCGGCAAGGGCUUUCUUAUGGAAUGUAGGCCGAUUUCCGGGUGUUGUAGGUUUCUCUUUUUCAGGCUUAUUUUCUCAUGCAUCUUGUCUGAAGCUUUUGAGGGCAGACUUCCAAGGCCCGGAGGAAUGGUAGAUGGCAAGUUUUAUGGUUUUUGUCUUUUAACCAAUUUGAGGGAAACAUGAAUUGAGACAAAAUUUAAGGCAAGUUUUGUAAGCGGCUUUUUUUUUUUUUAUAGCUUGGGGUAAUGAAACAUUUGAGUUUUGUGAAUGUCAAGUUUGGGCAUGUAUGGGGGGAAAGUUUUUGUGGGGGGGCAAAAUGUCUUGAGUUCUUUUCCCUUAGGUCUGUCUAGAAUCUCAAAGGCAAAUGACUCAAGGUAACAGAAAAAAAGAAAAUCCAGUAUCAGGAUAAUCAGAACACCACAGGUUUACAGUUUCUAGAAAUUAGAGCACGAGCAGUUCUCACUUUGAGGUCUGUGGAGGAGCUGUGCAUUGGAAAGAUGGCUGGUAGUUACUCUUUUUUUCCACCCCAUAAUCAGAUUUUUAAAAGUAUGUAAUCCUUAUAUUUGAAGUAUUUCGGGGUGUUCUUAACAGGGAAAAGGGUGGGGGGAGCAAAAUGUUUUUUUCUAAGAUUUUCCACAGAUGCUAUAGUGCUAUUGGCAAACUGGGUUAGAGAAGGAUUGGGCCGAUAUGCUGUUGGCAACACCGCCUUUAGGGAUUGGAGCUGCUGCUUUCUUCUUGGAAGAGAAUUCCCAGGUGAAGCUGGAAGGUACAGCACAGUGCAGCUUUGGUUCACAUUCAGUCAUCUCAGGAGAACUUCAGAAGAUCUUGACUAGGCCAAAUGUUGAAGUUAAGUUUUCAAAUGUGACUUUUAAAGUAACCUUUUAUUAAAAGGGGAGGAGCAAAUUUUGGUAAUGAACCUUUGUCAGUAGCUUGUUAUGGUUGGGGUUGGGAGGGUUGGGUUUAGGUAAUUGUUUAGUUUAUGAUUUCAGAUAAACUCAUGCCAGAGAACUUAAGUACUUAGGAUGAAAAAACUAAGAAAUCUCAACUUCCAUGUUGGCAAGUAACUCCCAAUCUUCAAGUUUUUGUUUUCCUUCAAUUUUUGAAUUGAGCAGCUGGGAAGUUUCAUGAAGAUCCACUGGAUUCAAAAUGUAGGGCCUGGGGAAGGAAAGUGUUGGACGGGGUGGUCUAGCCCCCUGGGCUGACAAAGAUAACAUCUUGGGGAUUUUUUGAACACUAAAGUUUGGAUAUGGUAGUGUGUGUUGGUUCUCUUUUGGAAUUUUUUUCAGGUGGUUUAAUAAAAGUUAAUGCUAUAGGAGCUUCAGAGCAGAGGAAGUGGCUUAAUGAUCCUGAAGGGAUUUCUUCUGAUGGUAGCUUUUGUGUUAUCAAGUAAGACCCUAUUUUUAAUUGUACAUAAGCAAGUGUGUUUUUUUAGUGUAGGAAAAUAUUUCUCCUUUGACUGCAAAACAAGAUGUUAAGGUAUGCUUUAAAAUUAUUGUCAAUUGUAUAUUUUAUGUUUGCAUCCUAAGUAUUGGUAAAUCAUAACUGAUUAAAGAAAGGGUGGGCUUUGUUGAUGAGGGAGGGGAAAUCUUUUUUUCUGUAGACCUUUUUCAGAUAACAUCUUCUGAGUCAUAACCAGCCUGGCAAUAAUGAUGGCCUAGAUGGAGAGGGAACAACUCCUUGGUGAAUGAUAAGUAAAAGCAGAAAAGAUUAUAUUUCAUACCUUCAUUGGGGAAAAAGCAUAACCCUGAGAUCCUAACUACUGAUGAAAACAUUGUCUGCAUAUGCCAGAAAAGCAAAUGAAAGCUACCAAUUUAAAGUUAAUGGAAUCUACCAUUUUAAAGUUACGGCUUAUCAAGCUAUACCCACAAAAAAAAAAAUGAAUCGAGAAAUUAAAUAAUGAAUUGAGAAAUACAAUGAAGAUCAUAUGUCCAUCUCAAAAUACUGCUUUUACAAAAGCAGAAUAUAAAUGAAAUGAAAAUGAUAAUACUACAUAAAUCCCGGAAUAAAAGAAGCUGAAAUAAUUCAGAGGAGUUGGGAUCAAGUGGAUUCAGAGGAGAGGAGGCUGUGCUGUGUGCCAAUCUUUCGUUUGCCUCAGACAGGUUCUCUUCGUUAUCAGAAGAGUUGCUUCAUUUCAUCUGGGAGCAGAAAACAGCAGGCAACUGUUAACAGAUAAGUUUAACUUGCAUCUGCAGUACUGCAUGUUAGGGCUAAGUGUUUAUGUUUACUAAGAGCUGUGGGGGUCUUCGGUACUGAACAUGGCCCCCUUCCUGGUCCCUUCCCUGAGGACUCCAGGAUUGUGAGGAAUUUUCCCAUUCAGCCUUCUUAAGGUUAGACAGGACGUUGUACCUGUGGCUUCCAUGAUGGGAUAGCACCUCACUCAGAGGCAAGUUAAUUCUUGAAGCCUCUCCAGAUUAGUACUUAAUAAAACUGAAUUUUUUGUUUAGCACGGAAUAAUUGAAAAACCCUAUGAAAGGAUAGGAUAAGAUGUGCUGUUCAUCAGAUGUUAAUCUUGCUAAAAUUUAAAAGUUGUGUUGUAUGUUGUGCAGAAAACCAUUAAAUCGUUCAAAAUAAAACAUUUAAUAGAGAAUGUAUGCUUUUAGGAAGCAGCUGUCUCCUUAUUUAAAUAAAAUACUGUUUGUUUUGUGGUUAGUGUUGGGCAAUCUUGGGGGGAUUCUUCUCUAAUCUUUCAGAAACUUUGCGAACACUCUUUAAUGGACAAGAUCAGGAAUUGAGCGGAAGAAGGACUUUAACUCUUAAGGCAGGAAACACAAAUUUUAUUCUUCAUAAAUUGAUGAGCAUUUAAUAAUGCCAGGCACAUGGCAAUAGAGGGCCUCUAAAUAAGGAAUAAGUGCCUCUUAGGACAGGUGGGAGAUAAUCAGGAAAACAGGUAACUGCACCUACACUGUUUCCAGAAAGUCCAGGGGUCUAUAAACUUAGAGCAAUAAAAUACUGUUUACGUGUCCAAAGUUUGCAUGUUAACUUCAAUGCUUAUGUCCAUCUCACCCAGUAUUAGCUAAUGUUCACACUAUUGGCCUUUUAUGUAGACACGAGUGGGGCAUGUGGGUUUUUUAAGAAUUUUCCUUUGCAGAGGCUUCAUUUCAUCCCUCAUGAAGCUGUUCAGGACUUUGACUUGCAUCUAGCGCUUGGCUCUGCCUUCUGUUCUCCUAGUGUGUGAGACCUUGCAGUGAGUUUCUCAGCAUACUCAAGUAACAUUCCCCCUCUGGAUCUUCAAGGGAAGGGAGGAGGGGGUGGGGCUUACUUGUCAGCUUUUUUUUUUACAGACUACACAGAAUGCGGUUGUCUUGACCUCAGGUCUGUCUGUUCUGUUGGCAAGUAAUGCAGUACUGUUCUGAUCCGCUGCUGUUAGAAUGCAUUGUGAGACGACUGGAGUAUGAUUAAAAGUUGUGUUUGCCCCAAUGCUUGGAGUAGUGAUUGUUGAAGGAAAACCCAGCUGAGUGAUAAAGGCUGUGUGUUGAGGAAAUUUCUGCAGCUUUAAGUAUUCAUGUUUGUGAUUGAAGCCAAGUAACCUUUUGCUGUGCUUUAGGUAAAAUGCUUUUUGUUCUUUCCUGGUAGGGGGGUGGGGAGGGCACUGAAGCCUUUAGUCUUUUCCAGAUGCAACUUAAACUCAGUGACAAGAAAUAACCCCCAAACAAGCAAGUCUUCAAGAAAUUUAACUGGCAAGUGGAAAUGUUAAUACAGUUCAGUGGUCUUAGUGCAUUGUUGUGUGGGUUUCUCUCUCCCCUCCCUUGGUCUUAAUUCUUACACACAGGAACAUGCAAAACAGCAGACGUAUGCGAAGGGCCAGAGAAGCCAGCCCCAGUAAGGAAAAAUAGCUUAUUUACUUAAACAAACAAAUAUUCGUAUUCUGUGUGGGGAUUGGGAGCCACUAGUUCUUUCAGGUGGUAUUCUUCAGACAUAGAAGGAGCUGCCAGUGCAUUCACCAGUGGACAAAAUGAGGACAACAGGUGACCGAGCCUUUUCUGUUUCAUACCGAGUCAGUCACGGGUAAAGGACUUAGUGUGGAAUAGGCUUCAGCUUUAUGCUGGAGCAAAUAGUACGCACAUAGCACGUUGUUGGCCUGGGGGCGGAGGGGUGAGGUGGGCGCUAAGCCUUGUUUUUUAAGAUUUUUCAGGUAUACCUCACUAAAGGCACCGAAGGCUUAAAGUAGGACAACCCGGAGCCUUCCUGUGGCAAGAGACAACAAAGCGCUAUUAUACUCAGGUCAAAAGGGUGUCGGCCUCAACCCCAUCCUCUCAGAAACGAGGACUUGCCUUAACACUUGGCAGGCAUGCAGUGGUCCUCUUUCCUGGGGAGUGAAGCGCCCAGAGGGAUGCCUGCGUACCUUGUAAACCCCCGGGCUUGUCCGAACAUUGAAUUCAGCUGUUUUUAUAGCAGCUCUUAAAGCCUGAACAAGCUUCAAGUGAUGCUUGAAGGGGCGGGAAAGGGGUAAAGCGGCAACCCCUUUUCCCUAGCUUUUCCAGAAGCCUGUUAAAAAGCAAGGUCUCCCCACAAGUGACUUCUCUGCCACAUCGCCACUCCCUGCCUUUGGCCUAGCGCAGACCCUUCACCCCUCACCUCGAUGCUGCCAGUAGCUUGGAUCCUUGGCAUGGUCCAUACCUGUCGCAAGGUAUUUUCCAUGCAU